AGCUGGAGCUGAGGUAACAUCCCAGACAGCUGACAGAACAUGCCUGAUUCCCACUGCUCAAAUGAUGUGAAGCAUCUCACCCGAGGCAUAUGUAAAGCCCUUAUGGUUGAAUGGAAGGUUUUAGGUGGGCGGUUGGGAUCCGGUAAAAAACUUGAACACAGCUGAAAUAAAGGAAACAUGUUUGAUUAUCUUGGGACAGUGCAUCUCAAUGAAAGUAAAGACACAGGAUGCAUCUGAAAUGCGUCAAUUAAGCAUCUAUGCUUUUUAAAAGCAUCCUAUAAUUUAAAAAAAUGAAGCUUACAUGAAGAUGAAGAUGAUUGGAGAACGAUCACGCCAGAGAGGAGCUCAAAAAUGGAAAAUACAGAGCUUUCUUAUAUAUUCUUUUCAGUAUGCUAGAAAUAAGCAAUACACCAUGGAAAACAUACUGUACUAUUUAAAUUAUUCAACAUAAUUUUGAACUGCAGUUUAUGCCAGAUGUGCAAUAAAUAAUUAUAUUACAGUAUAUGAUACUACGUGCAUACAUAUUUAUUUAUUAGUGCUACGAUUGACCUAAUCUCUAUAAAUUGUUCAAAAGUUAGAAAUCGCCCCCAACCAGUUUGCUAUUCAGUACCUUGCCAUGACAUUAUAGCCAAAAGGGAUUCCGAAUGUGGAAAUCAGUUAGCGUUACCCGUCUGAUUUACAUUUAAAAUCAAUUACAUUUAUAACAGAUGUUUUCUGGCUGAAUGUUUAUUACUGAACUUGGAUACAAUCUACAUAAUACACACAAUCUCAAUUUAAACUCUGAUUUCUGAUUGGGUAGUGUUCUGUAGAUAAGCAAACACAUAUUGUAUGUAUGAUGGAUUGAGCAGUGUGAUUAUGUUAAUGAUACUUUUCAGGGAUCAGGACACAUUCCAUGACAUAUUUACUGCUAUGGCUCUGUCAAACAACGCAGCAGUAUAGGUGGUUAAAACCAAGCCCUUGCUUCAAACAAAGCCAGGUCCCAAUGCAUUAUGUAACCAUAAAUUAACAGUCUAUAUGAGUUUUUUAUUUUAUGCAGCUGUUGUUUCUUUCUCAAGUUACAAAAAAGAAUCGGUGUACAAAGAGGCAUGACGUGGAGAGUAGAUGAGUCCCAUCAAAGCUUGUGCUAUGUUUUCAGGUCGAGGACUCAAUAGUGUGAUGGCGGCUUCCUUGGGGGCGAAAAAUAACAGUGAAGAGGAUUCACACAAGAAAUAGCUCAAAAGUGAACUUGGGAAGAUUGAGAAUUCCAUCCAUCCUCAUCCAGAAUGUUAAUGACAGGGAACUGGCCUGUCACUUCAUUUAUAAAUGGCAACAAUCAUGAGCAAGCAUCACAGAGGACCGUGCUGUGUUUUCAAAAAAAGCUACGUAUACCCAACUCUAGCCCUUGAGAAAGUCAUGUGAUCUGUGACGCAACACGUCGGGAAACGCCUGGUGACGUUCUACUUCCGAUUGUGGCCGAGAUCAGUAGUCCCUGUGUUUAUCUUUGCUGAAUACUGUGAUUUCUAGAUGAUAUUGAAGAUUGUGGAUCCUUUUUCACUAUUUCACAUGCACUGUUGUUCACUUUUAGACUAUUUAUGCAUUUGUUGUUUAUUGAUUUUGUUACUUGAUAUUUUUGCACUAUACACUUUUUUGUACCUACUGAGU
Long non-coding RNA from Rana temporaria (common frog), 1641 nucleotides. RefSeq lists it as uncharacterized. The record is from RefSeq and is a predicted model, not a curated record. NCBI's taxonomy places the organism in Eukaryota, Metazoa, Chordata, Amphibia, Anura, Ranidae. The transcript has 7 exons.